This 524-nucleotide long non-coding RNA is filed under the name Paramuricea clavata. The record is from RNAcentral. Lineage: Eukaryota; Metazoa; Cnidaria; Anthozoa; Malacalcyonacea; Plexauridae.
CUCACAGCAUGUCGAAACUACGGCAAGUAGAACACGUGCAGGCACAUCUUGCCUUUUACGAACCGCUUUAUGAAGAACAAGCACAUUAAAAAACUCGUACUUUGUUAGAAUUGUAAAACUGUGGAACUAUGUAUGUAAAUCUGCUCCUCCCAACUGCUACGACACUCUUUCCAACUGUAAAGCAUACCCACACAAGACUUAUCUCCACUUAACAGCCACUGCUUACACUCCUGACGAACCAAACUCGCACUCUUUGAUCACGACCAACUGACAUCUUCCACUCCUCCAUGUAUCUCUUUCUACCUCUUCUCUCGUUUCAUCUACUGUGCUUCUAACCUUCCAUUUCUCUUUUCUAUUUCAUAUAUUUUGUAAUUUUGUCUGUUCUGUAAUAUUUAGUAGUGAGCACCCUGCAUGGGACAUGGUCUCGUUUGUGCUUCGCCUCUUUUGGCACCUGUUUGUUUGAUGUUGUCCAUAUGUUUCUCAAAUGUAAUAGUCUAUGUGUAUUAUUCAUGUGUCAAAAUAAA